Ochotona curzoniae (black-lipped pika) is the source of this 1470-nucleotide long non-coding RNA. RefSeq lists it as uncharacterized. The record is from RefSeq and is a predicted model, not a curated record. NCBI's taxonomy places the organism in Eukaryota, Metazoa, Chordata, Mammalia, Lagomorpha, Ochotonidae. The transcript is spliced from 2 exons.
AGUUCAGAACAUGUGACAUUUUCACUAACCAUGUUUAAAUAGCACGUAGUGAGAAAGAAAUCAGAAACCUCACAGGACACUGGAGAAGGUCUGGAUUCUUACUCUUCAAUACAGAAAAUUAAAAGGAAGAUGAUGUUCAAGCUAUCACUGAUCGGCCUGCUCUUCAUGUUGAUGGACAAUUCUUCAAGAAUAUUAGCUAAUUCUCCAGGAUCUCAGAUCGUAUCUUCUGCGACAUCUCAGACAGGCCUCAGCAGCAAAGCAAGCCUGAGUACCAAGGCCAGUCUAACUACUGAGGUGACCCACAGUCUCACAACGAUCCAGAGGCCCAGUGAACCAACCCAGAGUCCCAGCAAAUCGAGCCAGGGGCCCAAGAUGUCAACCAACAAGCCCAGUGAACCAGACCAGGAAUCAGUAGAGACCUCAACGAUAACCACGGUUACUACAGCUAGGGGAAAUGGCAGCGUACUCAACCCAAUGGACAAUAUUCAUUUUCUUCUCUAUGUAAUACUUGUGCUGUUUUUUGUGCAUUAAGGUUGAAGUGAACAUGAAUUGCCUAUAUGCUUUUCUCAAUUCUUUAUUACAGGAUGAACACAAGCAUAUCAGAAAAGUAAAAUUUAUUUCAACUUACUCUUAAAGAAAUUACCAUUAUCCUAGCUUGCUCUGGUUAACUGCAUAUUUUAGUCAAAAGUGUAAAAUAAACAUAAUUUCCUUCCUUAUAAUAAAAGCCUGUAUUUCAUAUUAAAUGAUUAAACAAGUAAAUACUAAACAUCUGUAUUUUAUUAAUUGUUUAAAGGCAGAGUUACACAGAGAGAAGAACAGACAGAGAGAUGGAGAGACAGAUCUUCCAUUCAAUGGUUUGCUCCCCAAAUGUCCUCAGCAGCCUCAAGGUAGAAGCCUGGAUGGGUGGCAAGGGUCCAAGGACCUAGGCCUCCUCUGCUGUUUUCCCAGGUGCAUCAACAGAGAGCUAGAUCAGAAGUAGAGCAGUCCAGACAGAAAUCAGGGCUCCUAUGGGUACCCCAGAUGGAAGCUUAACCCAUAAUACUACAACAUCAGCUCCCAACAUUUACAUUUUAAAUGUUUGCAGAACUAAAUAAACUCAGAAACUUAAAGUUGUAAGAGAAGAAAUAAUGUAGACAGCAUUUAACAGAAGUAUGACUGAGAGACGUGAGCAUGUGUGUGUAAGGCAGAGAAUGACAGAGUUGUGACAUAAAGGUAGGCAGGGAGGGAGAUGACGGAUGAGGAACUGUGCGAGAGAAGCAGUUUUUGUGUUUCUUACUUAAAUAAACAAAACUACGCUAAUCUGUUAAAAUACAGUGCCCUAUAAAACAUCAAUCUAUACUUCCAUGUCUAUUAAUGUGUAACAGUAAUUUAUCAUUCUAGUAAAAAAAAAAAAGGAUGCCAAUUCUGCUAACCUCUGUGAUGUAUGAUACUGCUGUUCCAAUAAAAAUAUAAAUCUUACUUCGAGAAAAA